UGCAGUCGAACGGACCAGGUGGAAGGCAACGGAAGCCUGGUUAGUGGCGGACGGGUGAGUAAUGCAUGGACAACGUACCCUGGACACAGGGAUAGCGGCGGGGCCUUCGGGCUCCUUUGCGAAAGUGCCGGUAAUACCUGAUGACACCGCGUGGUCGCAUGGCUGUGCGGUCAAAGUUCAAGCGGUCUGGGAUCGGUCCAUGUCCUAUCAGCUUGUUGGUGGGGUGAUGGCCUACCAAGGCAUCGACGGGUAGCGGGCGUGAGAGCGCGACCCGCCACAUCGGGACUGAGACACGGCCCGGACACCUACGGGUGGCUGCAGCAACGAAUCUUCCGCAAUGGGCGCAAGCCUGACGGAGCGACGCCGCGUGUUGGAAGAAGUCCUUCGGGAUGUAAACAACUGUCAGGGGUGAGGAAUCAAUUGACCAGCCCCAGAGGAAGCACCGGCUAACUCCGUGCCAGCAGCCGCGGUAAUACGGAGGGUGCGAGCGUUGUUCGGAAUCACUGGGCUUAAAGGGCGCGCAGGCGGGACGGAGGGUGUCACAGUGAAAUCCCUCGGCUCAACCGAGGAAUAGCUUGGCAAACCGCCGUUCUAGAGGCAGGUAGAGGCAACUGGAACUAUGGGUGGAGCGGUGAAAUGCGUAGAUAUCCAUGGGAACGCCGGUGGCGAAAGCGGGUUGCUGGGCCUGUCCUGACGCU
This 698-nucleotide ribosomal RNA is filed under the name uncultured bacterium. RNAcentral describes it as "bacterial SSU rRNA". It matches the Rfam family "Bacterial small subunit ribosomal RNA", at positions 56 to 747 of the family's 1533-position model. The record is from RNAcentral.